UACGGAGGGUGCAAGCGUUAAUCGGAAUUACUGGGCGUAAAGAGCGCGCAGGUGGUUGAUUAAGUCUGAUGUGAAAGCCCACGGCUUAACCGUGGAGGGUCAUUGGAAACUGGUCGACUUGAGUGCAGAAGAGGGAAGUGGAAUUCCAUGUGUAGCGGUGAAAUGCGUAGAGAUAUGGAGGAACACCAGUGGCGAAGGCGGCUUCCUGGUCUGUAACUGACACUGAGGCGCGAAAGCGUGGGGAGCAAACAGGAUUAGAUACCCGGGUA
This 269-nucleotide ribosomal RNA is filed under the name uncultured prokaryote. Its description in RNAcentral is "partial 16S ribosomal RNA". It matches the Rfam family "Bacterial small subunit ribosomal RNA", at positions 524 to 792 of the family's 1533-position model. The record is from RNAcentral.